AGGGAAUCUUCGGCAAUGGGGGCAACCCUGACCGAGCAACGCCGCGUGAGUGAAGAAGGUUUUCGGAUCGUAAAGCUCUGUUGUAAGUCAAGAACGAGUGUGAGAGUGGAAAGUUCACACUGUGACGGUAGCUUACCAGAAAGGGACGGCUAACUACGUGCCAGCAGCCGCGGUAAUACGUAGGUCCCGAGCGUUGUCCGGAUUUAUUGGGCGUAAAGCGAGCGCAGGCGGUUUGGUAAGUCUGAAGUUAAAGGCUGUGGCUCAACCAUAGUUCGCUUUGGAAACUGUCAAACUUGAGUGCAGAAGGGGAGAGUGGAAUUCCAUGUGUAGCGGUGAAAUGCGUAGAUAUAUGGAGGAACACCGGUGGCGAAAGCGGCUCUCUGGUCUGUAACUGACGCUGAGGCUCGAAAGCGUGGGGAGCGGACAGGAUUAGAUACCCUGGUAGUCCACGCCGUAAACGAUGAGUGCUAGGUGUUAGACCCUUUCCGGGGUUUAGUGCCGCAGCUAACGCAUUAAGCACUCCGCCUGGGGAGUACGACCGCAAGGUUG
This 549-nucleotide ribosomal RNA is filed under the name uncultured bacterium. RNAcentral describes it as "bacterial SSU rRNA". It matches the Rfam family "Bacterial small subunit ribosomal RNA", at positions 356 to 896 of the family's 1533-position model. The record is from RNAcentral.